RNAcentral lists this ribosomal RNA (484 nucleotides) under uncultured bacterium. Its description in RNAcentral is "bacterial SSU rRNA". It matches the Rfam family "Bacterial small subunit ribosomal RNA", at positions 28 to 518 of the family's 1533-position model. The record is from RNAcentral.
GACGAACGCUGGCGGCGUGCCUAACACAUGCAAGUCGAGCGGAGAUACAUCGAAGAGCAAUCAGAUAUGUAUCUUAGCGGCGGACGGGUGAGUAACGCGUGGGCAACCUGCCUCAUACUGGGGGAUAACACAGGGAAACUUGUGCUAAUACCGCAUAAUAUCAUUAUAGGGCAUCCUGUGAUGAUCAAAGGAGCAAUCCGGUGUGAGAUGGGCCCGCGUCCAAUUAGCUAGUUGGUGGGGUAACGGCCCACCAAGGCGACGAUUGGUAGCCGAACUGAGAGGUUGAUCGGCCACAUUGGGACUGAGACACGGCCCAGACUCCUACGGGAGGCAGCAGUGGGGAAUAUUGCGCAAUGGGGGAAACCCUGACGCAGCAACGCCGCGUGAAGGAUGAAGGUCUUCGGAUUGUAAACUUCUUUGAUGAGGACGAACACAAUGACGGUACCUCAAAACAAGCCACGGCUAACUACGUGCCAGCAGACCC